Myotis lucifugus (little brown bat) is the source of this 75-nucleotide non-coding RNA. Lineage: Eukaryota; Metazoa; Chordata; Mammalia; Chiroptera; Vespertilionidae. The record is from Rfam.
GGCGCUUCUCAGGUGACACACCCUGGAAUCAGGCUCCCUCCUCUCUGGUUCCAGGGGCGUCACUCAAGAACCACA